Molecule: transfer RNA, 77 nt
Filed under: Parachlamydia sp. AcF125
Lineage: Bacteria; Pseudomonadati; Chlamydiota; Chlamydiia; Parachlamydiales; Parachlamydiaceae
Description: tRNA-Pro
Rfam family: tRNA
About the family: Transfer RNA (tRNA) molecules are approximately 80 nucleotides in length.
Source: RNAcentral
UCUGAGUGUAGCGCAGCUUGGCUAGCGCACUUGCAUGGGGUGCAAGGGGUCGGAGGUUCAAAUCCUCUCACUCAGAU